AUGAGAAAACCAGACAAGUUACCUUGGAAAUAUUUGCCAAACAACAUCCCACCAAAACAGCUUUACAUAAAUUUUGAAGACAAAAUAAACAUUCUAAAAUUUAUUUAUUCAUUUUUUUGUUCUCCUUCAGGUCAAACAUCAAAGUGUGGCUCUAUGCACCUACAUAUGAGGAUGGUGUCUGUUAAUAGUAAUGAUAAUCUCUUGUGUAUCUCAUAGGAAAUCAUACCGUUGGACACUUACAAAGUGCAAGCACUAUCUUUGAAAAGAAAGGCACGUAAUUACUUGAAUAUUAUCAUUUACUGAAGGAUUGAAAAAUAUUUAAACUGCAGUAGUGUCCUUCAGAUUCAAAUUAUGGCCAAAGUUCUCUUACAUGAACUUAACAGUUUAGAGAAUGUGAAAUGAGUACAUAUUUAAUACUUUGACCCUUUUAUUCAGUUUGUUUGUUUUGAUACCAGGAGUCAAAACAGUCAUCACUCUGGGUCUUCAGAAGAAAAAGUUAAUCCCUUCCCACUGAGAAGGACCUCCGUUAACUUACCUUGUCAUCUGGUAUUCAAUGUAUUUUCAUUUUUGUCUAGUGGAGUACUGCAUGCAUAGCACUAAAGUCAUCAUCAGUUAUAUACGUUUGUUCCUGCUUUCUGAUUGGCACACAUUUCCAUGCCUAUGUAUUGAGGAGAAUGUACUUAUGAAAUAUAAAAUCAUAAAACUCAAAAUAAAUGAAAGAGUUUAAAUGGUGAGAAGAAAAAAAAAAAAAAACUUACACAAAACUGAAGAUCAUAUAACUUCAAGCCCUAAAGUCUACUUAAGCUUUUUUAAUGUGCAACUAUAGAAUGUUUCUACAUUUUGAAAAUAACACUAGAGGUAUAGAAAUCAAUAUACUUAACGUAGUUAGUUAUACUAAACAUGCCAUCAUUAAUGAUCAAUGUUUUCAAAUGAUCUGUCGUUAGAUGUGAAUAAUAUUAACUAUCAAAGAGAUGACUAAAAUGACAACGUAGCAUCUAUAAAAAGUAAUAAAAUAGUAAUAGUAAUGGGCUUUCAAAAUAUAAAACAUGUUUUAAAAAGACAAAGAAGAAAAAUCAGAAAAAUACAAACCCACAAAACAGGAAAAAGAAAAUUUGUGUAUGUGUUUGUGCAUGAGAUCAACCAUGUUGAUUAUUGUGACGUGUGUGUAUCUAUAUAUAUGAAUGUAUACAGCUUAAGACAGUCAGAGGAAAGGUAAUUGGAAUACAUCAGUCAUUUGAAGUAAGUUUGAAGAGUUAGUGUAAAUUAUUAGUUACUAUCAAUGCCUGUUGAAAGUUACCUUCCUAAUGUUGGAAACUCAUCUAAUUUUAUAAAGUUUUAAAACUCUGUUGAAAGGAGUAAUUUAUCUGAGAAAAUAAUUAUGUGAAUUUUCUGAAUGUGUCAAAACCGCAUCAUAUGGAAGACUUUAAAUCAUAGGUUUGUAUUCAAAAUCAUUAUUUAGCAUAUACUAUAAAUAGGUUAUGCAAUAACAUCUCAAUGGACUUCCAUUACUUGAAGAUUGAAGUCUAGUUUUCAAUGGAAAGUAGGUUAACUACCUUCAAAUACUCUCUGAUGCCAAUUUGAUAUAGCUAAAAAUCCCUACAUCUUUUCUUCAGUUCCAUCUAUGGCUGCAUCUUACAAUUUUGACAUUAGCACUCAGUAUUCAUCUACUAAUGUUUAAUCCAAACAGAUUAGUGUGCUGUUGGUGGGAGUGUAAAUUAGUGCAGCCACUAUGGAAAACAGUAUGAAGGGAUGUCCCUCCAAAAACUAAAAACAGAACUACUAUAGGAUCCAGCAUUCCCACUGCUGGGUAUGUAUCCAAAACAAAAUAAAUCACUGUAUAAAAAGAUAUCUGAACCCCUAUGUUUGUUGCCAGCACUGUUUACAAAAGCCAAGAUAUGGAAUUAAUCUAAGUGUCCAUGAGUGGAUAUAUAGAUAAAUAAAUAAAUAAAUAAAAUGUGGUACAUAUUGUAGUACACAAUGGAAAGUUAUUCAGCCAUAAAUAAUCCUAUCAUUUUUCAAGAACAGAGAUGGACUUUGAGGAUAUUAUGUUGAGCGAAAUAAGCCAGACACAGAAAGACAAAUAUUCACGCGAUCUCAUUUCUAUACAGUAGCCAAAAAAUUAAUAUUAUGGAGGUAGUAGAAUGAUCAUUACCAGAGGCUGGAAAUGGUAGUAGGGGAGGGAUAAAGUGGGGUCAGUUAACAAGUACUGAGACACGAUUAGAUAGAAUAAAUAAGAUUUACUGUUUAGUAGAAAAAUAAGGCAGCUCUCGUUACAAAUAAGUUAUUGUAUAUUUCAAUAUAUUAAUAAAUAGAGGAUUGGAAUUGGAAUGCUCCUAACACAAAGAAAUGAUAACUUUUUGUGGUGAUGGAUAUUCUAAGUCUCCUGAUUUGAUCAUUAAUCAUUGUACAUUUGUAUCAAAAUACCACAUGUGCCCCAUAAAUUUUUUCAACCAUUAUGUAUUCAUAUAUUUAAAUAUAUAUAUAAAAGACUAGUCUACUGUCUAUUGAGAAAAUAAAAUGCAUUUUAGUGGUUUUAUAUUUUCACCAUUGUUAAAUCAGUCCCAUUAUUUCAUCUACCUAUUCAUUUAUCCAUUCAUUCAUUUAGCAAGUAUCUACUAAAUAUGAAUAUAUCAUAUACAUUAAUCAUAAAACAUGAAUAAGAUAUUAAAAAUUCCCUGACAGAACUCGGCCUCCUCACACCCUCUCUACCUACAUACCUCAAGUCUAUCUUUAUUAAAGUUCUCACAUGCAGUCACAACUAAAAAGACAUCUCCUGUGAGUUCACUGUAAGUAUAGCUUAUACUUUCCAUGUGUUAGGAAUAAAUAUGAAACAUAUGUUUUUUUAAUUGUAUCUUUGUUAGAUUUUGAUUAAAUGUCCAAGCCAUUUUAUUUGAUCUCCCCAUCCAAAUCACAAGGUUAUUAAGAUCAAGAAUUACAUACCUAUUCAUAGUCUAAAAACAAUUAUGUCAUAAAAUCUUACGCAUAGCAAAUUGUCAAUGCUAUGUUUUAGGCAUGAAUCUUAGUUGUAAGCAAUAUAAAAUGCUCUCUUAUUGAAGCAUAAAACUAAAUUUUUAUACGAAUAUUGCAUGGGUUAAUACUUCAGUGGGUAGUUUUAGAUCAAAGCUUGGAAAAGCAAAAUAAACGAACCAAAAAGGACAAAGAGCUGAAGUUAAAAUUUAUCUCAAAAACUGCUCUGAGUACCAGAAAACAUAACUGCACCAACCCUCAACUCAGGAGGCGGACGUUGAGUACAAACACCAACACGUAAGGUGAAUCCACAAUUUGGAGGAAACUGAAAGAAAGCUCUGGGAGUUUAAGCUUUAUCAAGUGGGCAUGCCCAGUGGCAGUGGGCAAAAAACAUCAAUACUGUUGCCAUAGCCACUGUUACUCAUAUGAGUU
This is a long non-coding RNA of Macaca mulatta (Rhesus monkey), 3399 nucleotides long. The record is from Ensembl. Lineage: Eukaryota; Metazoa; Chordata; Mammalia; Primates; Cercopithecidae.